RNAcentral lists this ribosomal RNA (465 nucleotides) under uncultured Glomus. RNAcentral describes it as "SSU rRNA". It matches the Rfam family "Eukaryotic small subunit ribosomal RNA", at positions 623 to 1089 of the family's 1831-position model. Lineage: Eukaryota; Fungi; Glomeromycota; Glomeromycetes; Glomerales; Glomeraceae. The record is from RNAcentral.
AAAGCUCGUAGUUGAAUUUCGGGGUUAGUAGGUUGGUCAUGCCUCUGGUAUGUACUGGUCUCACUGAUUCCUCCUUCCUUAUGAACCGUAAUGCCAUUAAUUUGGUGUUGCGGGAAAUUUGGACUGUUACUUUGAAAAAAUUAGAGUGUUUAAAGCAAGCUAACGCUUGAAUACAUUAGCAUGGAAUAAUGAAAUAGGACGUUCGAUCUUAUUUUGUUGGUUUCUAGGAUUGACGUAAUGAUUAAUAGGGAUAGUUGGGGGCAUUAGUAUUCAAUUGUCAGAGGUGAAAUUCUUGGAUUUAUUGAAGACUAACUACUGCGAAAGCAUUUGCCAAGGAUGUUUUCAUUAAUCAAGAACGAAAGUUAGGGGAUCGAAGACGAUCAGAUACCGUCGUAGUCUUAACCAUAAACUAUGCCGACUAGGGAUCGGAUGAUGUUAAUUUUUUAAUGACUCAUUCGGCACCUU